Molecule: long non-coding RNA, 1789 nt
Filed under: Hordeum vulgare
Lineage: Eukaryota; Viridiplantae; Streptophyta; Magnoliopsida; Poales; Poaceae
Description: long non-coding RNA (HVUL_LNC020906)
Source: RNAcentral
AAUUCAUUAAUGAAGUUGCAACCAUUGGACUGAUCCACCACGCAAAUAUCGUUCGUCUCUUGGGCUUUUGCUCCGAAGGAACAAGACGGGCUCUGAUUUAUGAAUAUAUGCCUAAUGAGUCACUGGAAAAAUACAUAUUCUCACAUGUUUCUAAUACUUCUCAACAACUCCUAGCACCCAUCAGAAUGCUAGAUAUUGCUUUAGGCAUUGCCCGAGGAAUGGAGUACCUGCAUCAAGGCUGCAACCAGCGCAUUCUCCACUUUGACAUCAAGCCACACAACAUCUUGUUGGACUACAACUUCAACCCGAAGAUCUCAGACUUUGGCCUUGCCAAGGUGUGUGCAAGGGACCAGAGCAUCAUUACAUUAACUGCAGCAAGAGGCACCAUGGGAUACAUCGCACCAGAGCUAUACUCUCGAAACUUUGGAGGGGUGUCUUACAAGUCAGAUGUGUACAGUUUUGGCAUGCUGGUGUUAGAAAUGGUGAGUGGAAGGAGGAACUCAGACCCAAGUGUUGAGGGCCAGAAUGAGGUGUACCUCCCAGAGUGGAUUUAUGAGAAAAUAACCACUGAGCAAGAAUGGGAGCUUACUUUGGAAAUGGCAGCACAAGACAAAGAAAAGAUGAGGCAGCUGACUAUUGUGGCCCUCUGGUGUAUCCAAUGGAACCCAAAGAAUCGGCCUUCAAUGACAAAGGUGGUAAACAUGUUAACGGGGAGGUUGCAGAACCUGCAAAUUCCUCCUAAGCCCUUUGUGUCAUCUGAAAAUCAUCCAACAACAUAGCACAGCAAUGCAUAGCACUAGGAUGCACUAUAUUUCCAUAUUUCCACUCUAUUAGCACUUGAUUGUAUGAAUAAAUCGUCUGUCCCAUGUAACACUGUACUACUAGGUAUAAGCAAGAACAUAUGAGAACCACAUCAAACUUUAUUUGGGUUGAUACAGUAGUUUAUUGCUUACCUUGUUGUAAUGUUCGGAUGAUUUAUCUCCACUUGAGUAUUUCCUGCAGUGCAUUGCUCCUCACUGGGCUCCUCAGGGAACAUGAUUGCGCCCUUUGAUUUGAUUGCCAAGUCCAUUGUGGUGGAAUAUGUUUCGAUCUUCCCCCUCUAGUAGCACCUGCCAGUCAUCUCCAUGUAAUAGUACUAGUAGCUAUCUGCAGCAUAUCUGAGUCAAAUGGAGCUAUAUUUUUUGCAUUUUGACAGUUUAGAAUGCAUGGAGCUUUAUUCCGCGGUUCAGUAUUUUCUACAGUGCAUUCCUCAUCAGUACUGGCAUUUCCUGCCGUGAUUUUAUCCACUGUGUAGUUCCUCAUCAGUAAUAGUAUUUUCUACAGUACAUUCCUCAUCAGUAGUUAUGAAGAUGUGAUUUCCCUGAUUUUAAGAAGAUAGCAAGACGGUGCUAGUGUUUCCUACUGUGAUUUUAUCCCUGCUUCCCUCGUACAUACUCCAUUGUGUAGUGUAGUGUGUCAGCCAUUUCCUUGUCCAAAUCACAAUACAAGAGAUGCGCACAUCCCCUGCUUAUUAUUCUAGAAAAAAUAAAAGAGGAUCCUGAAACUAAUCAUGCCACUGCACAAAAAUAAAAGAAAAGGCAGAGCAAACACAAAGGGAUUACUCACCAUGGCAGAGAGCUCCUCCCGCUGCCCUUUAGUCCCUCGCCAGAGCAGAGCAGAGGAUUGGGGGCGAUUCGCUGAGACGAGAGGGAAGACGAGGGAGCUGGCUUAGACGCCAGCCAAUUUGAACGGGAUCUGCCCGGAAGGUGCUACGGCCGGCAGAAGCACGCCGGGGGAAUCGCUCGCCGGC